GAUCCAGCUUCCGCUGCCAGCCCUAAAAAAUUUGAAUCACCAACAAAAGGAAAGAUCCUAAAUCACACUGAAUGCUACAGAAAAGCAAAGUUAAUAUAAUUGGUGCUGAAGGAUGCAAAAAGGGAGUUCAUUUGAGAUUUUGCUAGUUUAACAUUCACACAAUAUUCACAUCAGUCUUAUUUUCGCGUUGUGCCAUGUUUGGUUUCCAUUACUAAGGUCAGUGUUAUUUUUAUUUUACUUGUGUUCACAUAGGCAGCCUAGAUUGGCCUAUUUUGUACAGUGAAGAUUAGUUGUGAGCAGGUUUGUCACUGCAAACCUACAUGAGCUUUGUAGUAUCUUUUUAUCAAUUAAAAAU
RNAcentral lists this unclassified non-coding RNA (355 nucleotides) under Hevea brasiliensis (rubber tree). Lineage: Eukaryota; Viridiplantae; Streptophyta; Magnoliopsida; Malpighiales; Euphorbiaceae. The record is from RNAcentral.